This 930-nucleotide long non-coding RNA is filed under the name Fragaria vesca (wild strawberry). RNAcentral describes it as "long non-coding RNA (FVES_LNC003641)". Lineage: Eukaryota; Viridiplantae; Streptophyta; Magnoliopsida; Rosales; Rosaceae. The record is from RNAcentral.
CAAAUGCAGCUACUAUAACUGUUUUGAAAACCUAAAUGUAACUACCCAUGUAAUUGUCAUUGUCAAUCUUCUAGUUAUAUGGGUAGUUACAUUGGUAGAUACAUAUGUAGUAUGAUAAGUGUUUUGAGGUGUGAUAAGCUAACAUAUCAGACAAUUUUGUGCAAAAGAAGAUGAUGGGAAAGAAUAACAGAGAAAGGGAUACACAGGACAGAGAUGCUGACAUACAAGAAGCAAAGAAAAAAAAAGAAGGCAGAGUUGAUGAAAAGGCAAAGAAAAAAAAGAGAAAACAGUUGAUGAAGAGCAAAGAAGAAAAAGAAGAUAGUUGAUGAAGAGGGUGAUGAUGAACUGCUGGCCAAACUUUGCAAGCAGCUAAACAUGAAGAAGACACUAAGAAGCAUUAUAGAUCAUACAUUGAACUAAUUUUUCAAUAUAUAAGGAGCAAAGUGUUCAAGAAGUUGAGAGCAAAGUGUUCUAUUCUUUUUGAAUAGCUACAUGAAAGAUUAAAUGUUUUGAACAGAUUUCAAUUAAUAGACAUUGCUUUGCUUUGCUUUCUUUUACAUUUUGUGUAUGUCAAUACAUGUAACUGGUUAUGUAGCAUGUAUGUAACUACCCAGGUAACUAUCCAUCUAUAGCUACAUGGAUAGUUACAUAGCUAGCUUAAUGUAGUUACAUAAGUCAAGUAUAUAAUAAUUGCAGCGUGCCGCUGCACCGCGACGACAACGUUUCGCUGCUUUUACCAUGUUGUUGAACUGCGACGAACACUGUAUGCUUCUUGGCCAUAACAACAUACUCGAAUGCAAAAGUAACUGGACAUGUAACUAGUAAAUGCAAAUGUAGCUAUCCAUCUAUAGUUACUUGGAUAGUUACAUAGGUAGCUUAAUGUAGUUACACAAGUCAGGUACACAUAAUAAUUACACAAUCCAAANNNNN